UACAGAGGGUGCGAGCGUUAAUCGGAAUUACUGGGCGUAAAGCGCGCGUAGGCGGCUUUUCAAGUCGAUUGUGAAAUCCCCGGGCUUAACCUGGGAACUGCAGUCGAGACUGUCUAGCUAGAGUAUGGGAGAGGGAAGUGGAAUUUCAGGUGUGGCGGUGAAAUGCGUAGAUAUCUGAAGGAACAUCAGUGGCGAAAGCGACUUCCUGGACCAAUACUGACGCUCAUGUGCGAAAGCGUGGGGAGCAAACAGG
This 253-nucleotide ribosomal RNA is filed under the name uncultured bacterium. RNAcentral's name for it is "partial 16S ribosomal RNA". It matches the Rfam family "Bacterial small subunit ribosomal RNA", at positions 524 to 776 of the family's 1533-position model. The record is from RNAcentral.